AUGAAGUCUGCUGCGUGGUUGCCCCACACACACACACAAACACAGCACACUGCUUCAGGUCUACAAGGCUCUACAAGAUCUAUUAGCGCAAUCACAGUCCUCACAGCUGCAGUCGUCUGACCCUGCACCUGCUACACCGGCCACGACAGAUGAUACAGAUCUGCCACCCCCAGCAGUUCAGCUGCAGUCACAGUAGUCCUCUGCUGUGGUAUUUCAUUUACCGGCUGCACCAGUUCUUACUACACUGGCUGCGAAGGGAGAAACUUUUGAGGAUUCCCAGAUGGAUACAGAUCUGCCAUGCACUCCACCACUGCCCCUGAUAGCCUCUCCCAGAAGUGCAUACACCGGGUCUAUCACUAUUGACAAAGCAGAGAUAGGUGGCUGACAAGGAAAAAUAAAACAACAUCCCACACACACACACACAUUAUCCCCAAUGUAAAUACAUUGUAAUUACUUCAUUAUUUUAUUUUAGGAUUGGAGAUAUCUACACCUACAUAUUCAUUAUCAAUAACUACAUAAUUACUCUAAGAAUCUUUCCAAUCAGUGUGAUUGAUAAUAUUGUAAGAGUAUUGCUUAAUUUGUAGUUUGAGAAAAC
Molecule: long non-coding RNA, 595 nt
Organism: Oncorhynchus tshawytscha (Chinook salmon)
Lineage: Eukaryota; Metazoa; Chordata; Actinopteri; Salmoniformes; Salmonidae
Source: Ensembl